Molecule: long non-coding RNA, 583 nt
Organism: Polypterus senegalus (gray bichir)
Lineage: Eukaryota; Metazoa; Chordata; Cladistia; Polypteriformes; Polypteridae
Exons: 4
Source: RefSeq, a predicted model, not a curated record
UUAGCGGGUACCUGUUUGGCGCGCGGGUACGAUGGCAGUCGCCUCUGAACAUUAGCGCACCCUUUAAACCCUUCAUACUUCUUGGUGCUUUACAGACUGUUUUCUGGAAACUACCCACACGAGAAAACCCAGGAAGCUUCAUGCCUCCUGUACUACGUGAUGGAUUCUCUACCUUGUCGUGUGGUAAGAAGUUGAUUCAGAUUACCGCAAGCAAAUCCACAGCCAGUUAAAAAACUUUUCCACUUUACACAACCUGAAAGAAGAAGACUUCUGACUCAGCUCAACUUCCUUCCCAACGUCUUACUUAAGGAGCCUCUGUUUUUUGUAGAUUCUUUGAAUUCUGUUGCGAGGAUGGUUACCACCAUGGGAUGACUGGCGGUCAUGACUUGUGAUGUCAUUAGGACAACCAUACAAAGAACUGGGACAUCCAUUACUGUGUGUUAGCAGUCUUAGAGGAACCACAGGAGGUGGAACACGGAAUACGCAAAGAAUCAAGAAAACAGACUGCUGGAGGCAGGAAGAUUGACCUUCUGUAACCUGUCUCAUUUUGAUCUCCAUUCAGAAGUUGAGCAAUUCAAAAAGG